AAAAUUUCUAGGGCUUAGAGGUUGCUGGCAUUAGCCUCCCUCCUCUAUAUAUCCUUAGAUCUGCAUUCUAAGGGUUAGGGGCGUGCUCGUUUCACUGGAACACACAAGUUCUCAAAACCCUCAUUCAAAAUGCCCAAGCAAAUUCAUGAGAUUAAGGAUUUCCUUCUCACUGCAAGAAGGAAAGAUGCACGCUCUGUGAAGAU
This 203-nucleotide unclassified non-coding RNA is filed under the name Hevea brasiliensis (rubber tree). The record is from RNAcentral. Lineage: Eukaryota; Viridiplantae; Streptophyta; Magnoliopsida; Malpighiales; Euphorbiaceae.